GGCUAGAUGGCUGAGGGUUAGGCGGUAGAUUGUAAAUUUAAAGACGGAGGAAAGCUCCUCUAGCUA
Molecule: transfer RNA, 66 nt
Filed under: Typhlatya taina
Lineage: Eukaryota; Metazoa; Arthropoda; Malacostraca; Decapoda; Atyidae
Description: tRNA-Tyr
Rfam family: tRNA
About the family: Transfer RNA (tRNA) molecules are approximately 80 nucleotides in length. Their secondary structure includes four short double-helical elements and three loops (D, anti-codon, and T loops). Further hydrogen bonds mediate the characteristic L-shaped molecular structure. tRNAs have two regions of fundamental functional importance: the anti-codon, which is responsible for specific mRNA codon recognition, and the 3' end, to which the tRNAs corresponding amino acid is attached (by aminoacyl-tRNA synthetases). tRNAs cope with the degeneracy of the genetic code in two manners: having more than one tRNA (with a specific anti-codon) for a particular amino acid; and 'wobble' base-pairing, i.e. permitting non-standard base-pairing at the 3rd anti-codon position.
Source: RNAcentral